GAUGAAGAACGCAGUGAAAUGCGAUACGUAAUGUGAAUUGCAGAAUUCAGUGAAUCAUCGAAUCUUUGAACGCACAUUGCGCCCCUUGGUAUUCCAUGGGGCAUGCCUGUUCGAGCGUCAUUUGUACCUUCAAGCUUUGCUUGGUGUUGGGUGUUUGUCUCGCCUCCGCGUGUAGACUCGCCUCAAAACAAUUGGCAGCCGGCGUAUUGAUUUCGGAGCGCAGUACAUCUCGCGCUUUGCACUCACAACGACGACGUCCAAAAGUACAUUUUUACACUCUUGACCUCGGAUCAGGUAGGGAUACCCGCUGAACUUAAGCAUAUCAAUAAGCGGAGGA
This 337-nucleotide unclassified non-coding RNA is filed under the name soil metagenome. RNAcentral describes it as "partial contains 5.8S ribosomal RNA, internal transcribed spacer 2, and large subunit ribosomal RNA". The stretch from base 1 to 120 matches the Rfam family "5.8S ribosomal RNA", at positions 35 to 154 of the family's 154-position model. The record is from RNAcentral.